Molecule: long non-coding RNA, 2174 nt
Organism: Cervus elaphus (red deer)
Lineage: Eukaryota; Metazoa; Chordata; Mammalia; Artiodactyla; Cervidae
Exons: 2
Source: RefSeq, a predicted model, not a curated record
GGCGGCGGCGCCUCGCCGGCUGCUCUGCUCGCAAAGUCCGGCCGGCCGAGGCAGCCGGCAACUCCUCUCAACUUCUGCCGAUCGGCGGGCGAAGCCACACGCUCCCUGCGCGUCCCUCCCGGGGGCUGAGCCGGGGAUCUUCUCAACCCAGGGAUCAAGCCCGCAUCUCCUUUGGAUUCUUUAUCACUGAGCCAACUGGGAAGCCCUUAUUCACCUUGGAUGUUUUGAAAUAUACAGAACUUUUGUAGAAGAGCUUUCUUUGGAAAGGACUCUGGUGGGAGGCAAGAGGGCCUAUGAACAGGGGUACAAGGGAGCUCUCUAGGGUGUGAGUUAAAUGUGUGGUCUGUACAGUUAAGUCCUACCUGGUAAAGAGAUCCCGAAGACUAAUUUUGCUGUUGUCAUUUUUCUUACACCAGGUCUUCAAUGCAACAAAAUGGAUUGAAUAGUACAAGUAAAAUGCUUAGAACAUGCCUGGCUCAUGGUAAGAACAUGGACACUACACUCACAUUUCCAAGACCCUGAGCUGGGGGGCUCUGAGUUUGACUCAAUCAAGCCCUUAUCACAUGCUGGAGACUCUCCCAGACCUCAUGAAGUUCUUUCCACAAUUCUCUGUGAAGUUGAUACAUUGUCGCUGUCUCCACAUCAUAACAGAUGACACAAAAACACAGAGAACUGCCCACUUGGUGGAGUGGGCUUGCAAAUCCAGGAUACCAGCAUGAUCUUCCAGAGGUCACCCGGGGUUCCACGGACAGGGGAGUGGGUCCCAACCUUGCUGAGAAUCAUCCAGAGAGUUUUAGAAACACCAUGCUCUGGUUCUACCCCCAAAAAGUAGGGCUAAGUGAGGAAGAAACUAGUACCUGGAUCUUUUUUUUUUAAGUCCCCAGAUGAGUCUAACAGGUAGUCAGGUUUGAGGACAGUUGGCUAUUUAGAGAUAAAAAGACCCAUUUUAGGAAAAAUCCCUAAGUCACAGAGAAGACCCAUCCAAAGCUGUAAGAAGCCCCACAUUAUCAAAAGUCCAUCCCUAACAGAGGUCCUUGAGAGAGUAAAGCUGUGCUGUGGGUUGGCUGAGUAUGCAGAGGUUUUUGCAAGACCCUUGGGGAGGACUAUGCUGUAAUUGGACAAGUUAUCCUGCCUUACCCCUUCAUAGAUCACUGCCUUGUCAUGGCAAAGGGGCUUGCGUAACUCAAUGAAGCUAUGAGCCAGGCCAUGCAGGGCCACCCCAGAUAGAUGGGUUGAGGUAGUUACAUCUCUGGGAGAUAGUGGGGGACAGAGAGGCCUGGCGUGCUGCAGUUCACAGGGUUAUAAAGAGACAGACAUGACUUAACAACCGAACAACAACAAUCCUUCUUUAUGAGAUGCCACAGAAAAGCCAAAUCGCCUGUCACUAGAAGGGUUCAGUUGGACUCAUUAUUUGGCAUAGAGGUAGUAGCAGAGCUGCAAUCCCUGGAAGGCUGAGCAAUGCCUCUGAUGUUCCAUCCAUCCCAUCAUCGUCUCCUCCAAGCCCCACCCCCGUAGGAUGAAGACUGUGUGUAGUAGAUGUUCUUCAGAAGCAAGCCAACCCUUCCUCUGCUGCCUCCCAAAACCCAGCACCUGGGCUCAGGGUGCAGUUUCUCUGGCCUGCACACAUACUGUUUAGGGAAACCCAGACGCCAGCUUGUUCAAAUGUGGUUGCUGCAAUAAGAGGGGAUGUAUAAGAUGUGUCACAUGGCUCCCCCUCCCCCCGCCACUCCUCCUCCUCGGGGGAACUCACACGUGGCCAGGGCUCACAUAUGGCUGAGACACGCUGCAGUGAAUCCAUGGCGCCUCAAGAAUCAGGCCACAGUCGUUAUCCAUCACCACCUCCCAGCAGCAAACCCAGCAGUGUUCUUAAGUGUCUUCUGGGAGGUGGGAGCCAAGCCAAGGCUGCAGCAGCCAGCUACCUGGCUGAGCCUUCACACAGCCCCUCACCUGGGGAGCUCUCCUGCACGAAAGCCUCCACAGUCCUAAUUCUCCCCAAUCCAAAUUAUUUCUUAAACUAUUUUCCCCCAAACAACUUGAAGAGUGCCACCAGUGCCUGCAAGGCAAUUUGAAUUUCUUCCCUUUUUUAUUUUCCCUUGCAAUUAAAACCGGAAUGUUAUUUCUUCUUUGCUCUGAUAAUGUCUGAUUAAAUCAAUUCAUUGUGGUCUUGUGCUGGA